This 25-nucleotide non-coding RNA is filed under the name Mus musculus (house mouse). Lineage: Eukaryota; Metazoa; Chordata; Mammalia; Rodentia; Muridae. The record is from RNAcentral.
GACCAAGCCGGGAUCCAAUGGGUGG